This 255-nucleotide ribosomal RNA is filed under the name uncultured bacterium. RNAcentral's name for it is "partial 16S ribosomal RNA". It matches the Rfam family "Bacterial small subunit ribosomal RNA", at positions 524 to 777 of the family's 1533-position model. The record is from RNAcentral.
UACGAAGGGGGCUAGCGUUGCUCGGAAUCACUGGGCGUAAAGGGUGCGUAGGCGGGUCUUUAAGUCAGGGGUGAAAUCCUGGAGCUCAACUCCAGAACCUGCCUUUGAUACUGAAGAUCUUUGAGUAUGGGAGAGGUGAGUGGAACUGCGAGUGUAGAGGUGAAAUUCGUAGAUAUUCGCAAGAACACCAGUGGCGAAGGCGGCUCACUGGCCCAUUACUGACGCUGAGGCACGAAAGCGUGGGAGCAAACAGGG